RNAcentral lists this long non-coding RNA (438 nucleotides) under Cricetulus griseus (Chinese hamster). Its description in RNAcentral is "lncRNA (ENSCGRG00015029446.1)". The record is from RNAcentral. Lineage: Eukaryota; Metazoa; Chordata; Mammalia; Rodentia; Cricetidae.
CUCUAAGUUUUGGGCUUCUCUUCCAUUAGAACUCAGCAUUUUAUCUUAGUACUGGUAAGAUGGAGGAAACAGUGCUCAUGUUUAAAAGUGAAGGGCUGACAAGUUAAAAGAACAUUGCUGUUAUAUGCUCCAGAUGAGUUGAAUGGUAGAACUUCAAGUACAAUAUUGAAGAGGUAUGGAAAGAGUGGACAGCCUUGUCUUGUCCCUGAUUUUAGAGGAAUUGCAUUGAGUUUCUCUCCAUUUAAUUUGAUGUUGGCUGCUGGCUUGCUCUAUAUUGCUUUUAUUAUGUUACGGUAUGUUCCUGUUAUCCCUAGUUUCUCCAAGACCUUUAUCAUGAUGGGCCCCCUUCCCUUUGUAAUAAAAGUUCUCACUUAAGUUCUGUCUGCCUGGCAUGUUUGUCCCUUCGCCUCAGGCACCCUUACCUGUCAUGGAAUCCAC